UUACUUGUGUGUUGGUUUAAU
RNAcentral lists this microRNA (21 nucleotides) under Lepisosteus oculatus (spotted gar). Its description in RNAcentral is "Loc-Novel-1_3p (mature (guide))". The record is from RNAcentral. Lineage: Eukaryota; Metazoa; Chordata; Actinopteri; Semionotiformes; Lepisosteidae.